UACGAAGGGGGCUAGCGUUGUUCGGAAUUACUGGGCGUAAAGGGCUCGUAGGCGGCCAACUAAGUCAGACGUGAAAUCCCUCAGCUUAACUGGGGAACUGCGUCUGAUACUGGAUGGCUUGGAUCCGGGAGAGGGAUGCGGAAUUCCCGGUGUAGCGGUGAAAUGCGCAGAUAUCGGGAGGAACACCAAUGGCGAAGGCAGCUCGCUGGGACGGUACUGACGCUGAGACGCGAAAGCGUGGGGAGCAAACAGG
RNAcentral lists this ribosomal RNA (253 nucleotides) under uncultured bacterium. RNAcentral describes it as "partial 16S ribosomal RNA". It matches the Rfam family "Bacterial small subunit ribosomal RNA", at positions 524 to 776 of the family's 1533-position model. The record is from RNAcentral.